GGGCUGGGGCUGAGUGGUACAGUGCUUGCCUAGCAUGUGUGAGAUGCUGGGUUCGAUCCUCAGCACCACA
Molecule: transfer RNA, 70 nt
Filed under: Marmota monax (woodchuck)
Lineage: Eukaryota; Metazoa; Chordata; Mammalia; Rodentia; Sciuridae
Description: tRNA.Ala
Source: RNAcentral